Molecule: transfer RNA, 73 nt
Organism: Operophtera brumata (winter moth)
Lineage: Eukaryota; Metazoa; Arthropoda; Insecta; Lepidoptera; Geometridae
Rfam family: tRNA
About the family: Transfer RNA (tRNA) molecules are approximately 80 nucleotides in length.
Source: Rfam
UGUUCUAUGGCCGAACUGGUAAAGGCAUUGCCGAUCACAGGCACGGUUGCGGGUUCAAGUCCCGCUGGAGCGG